Molecule: ribosomal RNA, 133 nt
Filed under: uncultured bacterium
Lineage: Bacteria
Description: partial 16S ribosomal RNA
Source: RNAcentral
CCUCUCACGCUUUUGUCAAGUUACGGUAGACCGCAACAAUUCUUAACGUGUGACAGCAGUUUACAACCCGAGGGCCUUCUUCCUGCACGCGGCGUCGCUCCGUCAGGCUUUCGCCCAUUGCGGAAGAUUCUCG